AACGAACGCUGGCGGCAUGCCUAACACAUGCAAGUCGAGCGAGAUCUUCGGGUCUAGUGGCGCACGGGUGCGUAACGCGUGGGAAUCUGCCCUGUGGUUCGGAAUAACAGUUGGAAACGACUGCUAAUACCGGAUGAUGACGAAAGUCCAAAGAUUUAUCGCCAGAGGAUGAGCCCGCGUAGGAUUAGCUAGUUGGUGUGGUAAAGGCGCACCAAGGCGACGAUCCUUAGCUGGUCUGAGAGGAUGAUCAGCCACACUGGGACUGAGACACGGCCCAGACUCCUACGGGGGGCAGCAGUGGGGAAUAUUGGACAAUGGGCGAAAGCCUGAUCCAGCAAUGCCGCGUGAGUGAUGAAGGCCUUAGGGUUGUAAAGCUCUUUUACCCGGGAUGAUAAUGACAGUACCGGGAGAAUAAGCUCCGGCCAACUCCGUGCCAGCCGCCGCCGUAA
RNAcentral lists this ribosomal RNA (449 nucleotides) under uncultured bacterium. RNAcentral's name for it is "partial 16S ribosomal RNA". It matches the Rfam family "Bacterial small subunit ribosomal RNA", at positions 29 to 523 of the family's 1533-position model. The record is from RNAcentral.